This 253-nucleotide ribosomal RNA is filed under the name uncultured bacterium. RNAcentral's name for it is "partial 16S ribosomal RNA". It matches the Rfam family "Bacterial small subunit ribosomal RNA", at positions 103 to 354 of the family's 1533-position model. The record is from RNAcentral.
CGGGUGAGUAACACGUAUGCAACCUGCCUGCCGCAGCCGGAUAAUCGGGAGAAAUUCCGUCUAAUACGGCAUAAUGCAUCGACGGGACAUCCUGUUGGUGCCAAAGGUUGAUUCCGGUGGCGGAUGGGCAUGCGUCGCAUUAGUUAGUUGGCGGUGUAACGGACCACCAAGACGACGAUGCGUAGGGGUUCUGAGAGGAAGGUCCCCCACACUGGUACUGAGACACGGACCAGACUCCUACGGGAGGCAGCAG